Molecule: long non-coding RNA, 1432 nt
Organism: Oncorhynchus kisutch (coho salmon)
Lineage: Eukaryota; Metazoa; Chordata; Actinopteri; Salmoniformes; Salmonidae
Exons: 7
Source: RefSeq, a predicted model, not a curated record
AGUAGAACGUGGAAUGGAGCCUCUGGUGUGAACUUUGACCGAAUGGGAGGGGAAAUAGUCACUGUCUUGGCAGAAUGUAAUUUCCCUGUGGCGCAUUUGUCUGUUGAUGUCACCAUCGUUCCAUUUGGCUGCAGAUGAAAACAUAUGAUCCGGUUGGAAGGUUAUUGGAUAUAUAUGAAAAUAACAUCCUGAAGAUUGAUUCUCUACUUAGUUUGACCAGUUUAUUCGACCUGGAAUAUAUCUUUUUGAAGUUUUCGUCCGAGUUCUCCUUGACCAGCGUCAGCUUUUGGGCACGUGAGCUGAAAGUGCUAGCAAAUGCAGCUAAUUGGACACUAGUAUUGGACAUUAUGGAACAAAACAACGAUUUAUUGUGGAACUAGGACUCCUUGCACUGCAUUCUGAUGAAAGAUCAUCAAACUUCUAUCCAGAGCCCCGUGCUGCCCUGUGGACAACCAGAGAGGGCUUCUGAAGAAGGAGAAGCUCAGCUGAGCUGCUCAGUUCCUACAGCUCCCCUUGGAGGAUGCGCACAUGAGGAGGACCAGGAGGAGGAACAUUGGAGGAGAGCAGGAAGAAGGAUACUGGCAGAACUACAGGACACACUCAAACACAUACCUUGACGUGAUUGGUCCACACGGCACACCGGAUGCUCACAGAGAAGAAUAUUUGGAUCUGUGCUGCUCUUCAUACAGUACUGGACGUGUCAUUUACUGAGAAAUAAAGAGAAGGACAGUCAUCGGUGGAUAGAGAUUGACGUUGAACUACAGACUGUAGAAAACCUGGGGCUAGCAGAGACUACUAUGGAGUCAGCACAGAAUAAAGCUCAACCAACCUCUCCUCAUAAACAUACAGUGAAGAACAGGUCCAAGUCAACAGACGAGAUUCAACAAGCCAAAAAGGCUUUUCACACGACACAGAAAUCAUUGCCAGGGAAGCCGGAGACUGAGAAUAAGGAGCCCCCAGAGAGUCCAUCCUCAUCAGAAGAACUGAAAUGAAGGGGCAGACAGCACCAGGCAGAGAGUCAUGGGCUACAUCAAUCAUUCCUCUGGAAAUCUAUUCAGUUUUCUGCAGUUUGUAUUCUCAUAACGACAAAAAGGCUGUACAUUUUUUGUAAACGUCUUAUGAAUGUGAUUGUUUACUAAAUAAGAAAAAGUGUCAAAUGCAUUGUUUGUGAGGAUAGAAUGUUCAAAGAAUGACUAGAGACUUACUCUACAAAACACAGACACUUAACAGAAAGCUGUAAUUAAGCGAGUGGAAAACAUAUGUGCAUGUGCCAGUUGGGAUGUGUGUAAGUAUGAGGUAUAGUGGAUUUGUUAUGUACACUCUCCUAAAACAUUUUGUUUUUUGGAACUUAUGUCAGAAUUAAUGUCAGUAUGCCACUUUGAAAAUGUGAAGCAAUUGAGCCUGUAAAUAAACCUUGUGUAUGUUCAAAAAA